RNAcentral lists this ribosomal RNA (696 nucleotides) under uncultured bacterium. RNAcentral's name for it is "bacterial SSU rRNA". It matches the Rfam family "Bacterial small subunit ribosomal RNA", at positions 32 to 715 of the family's 1533-position model. The record is from RNAcentral.
AACGCUAGCUACAGGCUUAACACAUGCAAGUCGAGGGGAAACGACAUCGAAAGCUUGCUUUUGGUGGGCGUCGACCGGCGCACGGGUGAGUAACGCGUAUCCAACCUGCCCACCACUUGGGGAUAACCUUGCGAAAGUAAGACUAAUACCCAAUGAUAUCCCACGAAGGCAUCCGAAUGGGAUUAAAGAUUUAUCGGUGAUGGAUGGGGAUGCGUCUGAUUAGCUUGUUGGCGGGGUAACGGCCCACCGAGGCGACGAUCAGUAGGGGUUCUGAGAGGAAGGUCCCCCACAUUGGAACUGAGACACGGUCCAAACUCCUACGGGAGGCAGCAGUGAGGAAUAUUGGUCAAUGGGCGAGAGCCUGAACCAGCCAAGUAGCGUGCAGGAUGACGGCCCUAUGGGUUGUAAACUGCUUUUAUAAGGGAAUAAAGUGAGUUUCGUGAGACUUUUUGCAUGUACCUUAUGAAUAAGGACCGGCUAAUUCCGUGCCAGCAGCCGCGGUAAUACGGAAGGUCCGGGCGUUAUCCGGAUUUAUUGGGUUUAAAGGGAGCGUAGGCCGGAGAUUAAGCGUGUUGUGAAAUGUAGAUGCUCAACAUCUGCACUGCAGCGCGAACUGGUUUCCUUGAGUACGCACAAAGUGGGCGGAAUUCGUGGUGUAGCGGUGAAAUGCUUAGAUAUCACGAAGAACUCCGAUUG